RNAcentral lists this non-coding RNA (22 nucleotides) under Arabidopsis thaliana (thale cress). Lineage: Eukaryota; Viridiplantae; Streptophyta; Magnoliopsida; Brassicales; Brassicaceae. The record is from RNAcentral.
UGACCUGCGAAGUGAGUGUAGC